Molecule: ribosomal RNA, 484 nt
Filed under: uncultured bacterium
Lineage: Bacteria
Description: partial 16S ribosomal RNA
Rfam family: Bacterial small subunit ribosomal RNA
Source: RNAcentral
AUUGAACGCUGGCGGCAGGCCUAACACAUGCAAGUCGAGCGGAUGAAGGGAGCUUGCUCCUGGAUUCAGCGGCGGACGGGUGAGUAAUGCCUAGGAAUCUGCCUGGUAGUGGGGUAUAACGUCCGGAAACGGGCGCUAAUACCGCAUACGUCCUGAGGGAGAAAGUGGGGGAUCUUCGGACCUCACGCUAUCAGAUGAGCCUAGGUCGGAUUAGCUAGUUGGUGGGGUAAAGGCCUACCAAGGCGACGAUCCGUAACUGGUCUGAGAGGAUGAUCAGUCACACUGGAACUGAGACACGGUCCAGACUCCUACGGGAGGCAGCAGUGGGGAAUAUUGGACAAUGGGCGAAAGCCUGAUCCAGCCAUGCCGCGUGUGUGAAGAAGGUCUUCGGAUUGUAAAGCACUUUAAGUGGGGAGGAAGGGCAGUAAGUUAAUACCUUGCUGUUUUGACGUUACCAACAGAAUAAGCACCGGCUAACUUCGUG